AGGCAGCAGUAGGGAAUAUUGGGCAAUGGACGCAAGUCUGACCCAGCCAUCCCGCGUGAAGGAUGAAGGAUCUCUGGUUCGUAAACUUCUUUUAUCUGUGAAGAAAAUUGGAUAUUCUUAUCCAACUGACGGUAACAGAGGAAUAAGCACCGGCUAACUCCGUGCCAGCAGCCGCGGUAAUACGGGGGGUGCAAGCGUUAUCCGGAUUCACUGGGUUUAAAGGGUGCGUAGGCGGCCUUACAAGUCACUGGUGAAAGCCCACAGCUCAACUGUGGAAUUGCCAAUGAAACUGUAAGGCUUGAAUCUGAUUGAAGUGGCUGGAAUAUAUCAUGUAGCGGUGAAAUGCUUAGAUAUGAUGUAGAACACCAAUUGCAAAGGCAGGUCACUAAGUCAACAUUGACGCUGAGGCACGAAAGCGUGGGUAGCGAACAGGAUUAGAUACCCUGGUAG
This 450-nucleotide ribosomal RNA is filed under the name uncultured bacterium. Its description in RNAcentral is "bacterial SSU rRNA". It matches the Rfam family "Bacterial small subunit ribosomal RNA", at positions 346 to 793 of the family's 1533-position model. The record is from RNAcentral.